Molecule: unclassified non-coding RNA, 357 nt
Filed under: soil metagenome
Description: partial contains 5.8S ribosomal RNA, internal transcribed spacer 2, and large subunit ribosomal RNA
Rfam family: 5.8S ribosomal RNA (bases 1-120)
Source: RNAcentral
GAUGAAGAACGUAGCGAAAUGCGAUAAGUAAUGUGAAUUGCAGAAUUCAGUGAAUCAUCGAAUCUUUGAACGCACAUUGCGCCCGUCAGUAUUCUGGCGGGCAUGCCUGUUCGAGCGUCAUUACGCCCCUCAAGUCCCCUGUGGACUUGGUGUUGGGGAUCGGCGAGGCUGGUUUUCCAGCACAGCCGUCCCUUAAAUUGAUUGGCGGUCUCGCCGUGGCCCUCCUCUGCGCAGUAGUAAAACACUCGCAACAGGAGCCCGGCGCGGUCCACUGCCGUAAAACCCCCCAACUUUUUAUAGUUGACCUCGAAUCAGGUAGGACUACCCGCUGAACUUAAGCAUAUCAAUAAGCGAGGA